UACGUAGGCAGCAAGCGUUGUUCGGAAUUACUGGGCGUAAAGAGUGUGUAGGCGGUGCUCUAAGUUUGGUGUGAAAUCUCCCGGCUCAACCGGGAGGCUGCAUCGAAUACUGGAAUGCUAGAGGAUUGGAGAGGUAAGCGGAAUUCCUGGUGUAGCGGUGAAAUGCGUAGAUAUCAGGAGGAACACCUGUGGUGUAGACAGCUUACUGGACAAUUUCUGACGCUGAGACACGAAAGCGUGGGUAGCAAACAGGAUUAGAUACCCUGGUAGUCCACGCCCUAAACGAUGCAUACUUGGUGUGGGCCAUUCAUUUGGUCUGUGCCGGAGCUAACGCGUUAAGUAUGCCGCCUGGGGAGUACGGUCGCAAGGCUG
This 372-nucleotide ribosomal RNA is filed under the name uncultured prokaryote. Its description in RNAcentral is "bacterial SSU rRNA". It matches the Rfam family "Bacterial small subunit ribosomal RNA", at positions 524 to 896 of the family's 1533-position model. The record is from RNAcentral.